This 299-nucleotide long non-coding RNA is filed under the name Gigantopelta aegis. Its description in RNAcentral is "uncharacterized LOC121376484, transcript variant X1". Lineage: Eukaryota; Metazoa; Mollusca; Gastropoda; Neomphalida; Peltospiridae. The record is from RNAcentral.
AUCAAAUCUAAGAGAUGUACCCUCCGGAUGUCGAUAUCUGUCCGCGUUUGACACCAACAAGGACGGACAUUUGGACGAGUCUCAACUGGAAGACUUCUUAGACACGCGGAUGUACGGGAAAUCUUGGACAGAGCUGAUGACGAUGGAAACAACAAGAUCUCCAUGCAAGAGUUUCAGCAAUUCAUCAAUGAGAUAAACAAGAUGGAAUAAACAAAAAACAAGUCCAGCUCUUACUCUCUGAAUAUCGAGAACUGACUUCUUAUGAGAUGCCAUCUGUCUAGACAAUAAUAAAAUUUGCA